This 341-nucleotide ribosomal RNA is filed under the name uncultured bacterium. Its description in RNAcentral is "partial 16S ribosomal RNA". It matches the Rfam family "Bacterial small subunit ribosomal RNA", at positions 338 to 676 of the family's 1533-position model. The record is from RNAcentral.
CCUACGGGUGGCAGCAGUGAGGAAUAUUGGUCAAUGGACGCAAGUCUGAACCAGCCAUGCCGCGUGCAGGAAGACGGCCCUAUGAGCUGUCAACUGCUUUUGUACGAGGGUAAACGCAGAUACGUGUAUCUGUCUGCAAGUAUCGUUCGAAUAAGGCUCGGCCAACUCCGCGCCAGCAGCCGCGGUAAUACGGAGGAUUCAAGCGUUAGCCGGAUUUAUUGGGUUUAAAGGGUGCGUAGGCGGUCGGAUAAGUUAGAGGUGAAAUCCCCAGGCUCAACUUCGGAAUUGCCUCUGAUACUGUUCGGCUAGGGAGUAGUUGCGGUAGGCGGAAUGUAUGGUGU